ACUGUCUAGUCUGACAUGCCUUAAAAUGGGACACACACACACACACAUAAAAGACUGAGAAGAGUUCAAGGGUCAACCUGGGAAGAGAUAGUGGGAUUCCAUAUAAGGAAGAUGCAAUUGUCCAUAUUUGACCUCCUCCACAUAUCAAUACUGAUGGUGGAGCAGCAGGUUGUGUGUUCUGGGAUUUUGGUUCGGUCUCUAAUUAAAGUGUUAACCUCCCCCUAAUCCCAGACCACUCACCUCCCAGCAUCCAGGGAGGGAAAAGUCUACGGAGGAGAGGGAAACCAGGAGGGAACCUCUACUACUCUGGAGGGAAAACAGAGCUGUGUCUAACCAGGGAUGGAAGAAACAUGGACACUUCCUGGCCAAUCAAUCUUUGUUAAACAUGUCUAUGUUCUAAAUUACAAUAAUUUGCAGUAAUUACAUAUGAAUGAAAUAAUGAGUAUUCAUAUAAAGGGAUUUUAAAGAUGGCAUUGAACUAGAUACAAAUAAAAAAAAUCAAUUUGACAUACAACUGGGCAAUAAAAAUUAGUUUUAUUCCUA
Long non-coding RNA from Hypomesus transpacificus, 543 nucleotides. RefSeq lists it as uncharacterized. The record is from RefSeq and is a predicted model, not a curated record. The transcript is spliced from 2 exons. NCBI's taxonomy places the organism in Eukaryota, Metazoa, Chordata, Actinopteri, Osmeriformes, Osmeridae.